RNAcentral lists this ribosomal RNA (82 nucleotides) under Kushneria sinocarnis. Lineage: Bacteria; Pseudomonadati; Pseudomonadota; Gammaproteobacteria; Oceanospirillales; Halomonadaceae. The record is from RNAcentral.
CCAUGCCGAACUCGGCAGUGAAACCGCUCAGCGCCGAGGGUAGUGUGGGGACUCCCCAUGCGAGACUAGGUCAUCGUCAGGC